This 71-nucleotide transfer RNA is filed under the name Anguilla anguilla (European eel). RNAcentral's name for it is "tRNA-His". It matches the Rfam family "tRNA". From Rfam's summary of the family: Transfer RNA (tRNA) molecules are approximately 80 nucleotides in length. Their secondary structure includes four short double-helical elements and three loops (D, anti-codon, and T loops). Further hydrogen bonds mediate the characteristic L-shaped molecular structure. tRNAs have two regions of fundamental functional importance: the anti-codon, which is responsible for specific mRNA codon recognition, and the 3' end, to which the tRNAs corresponding amino acid is attached (by aminoacyl-tRNA synthetases). tRNAs cope with the degeneracy of the genetic code in two manners: having more than one tRNA (with a specific anti-codon) for a particular amino acid; and 'wobble' base-pairing, i.e. permitting non-standard base-pairing at the 3rd anti-codon position. The record is from RNAcentral. Lineage: Eukaryota; Metazoa; Chordata; Actinopteri; Anguilliformes; Anguillidae.
GGAGUGUAGCUCAGUGGUAGAGCACUAAACUAUGACUCCAGGGACAGGGGUUCAAAUCCCAAUCUGCUCCU